Lactuca sativa (garden lettuce) is the source of this 6901-nucleotide non-coding RNA. NCBI's taxonomy places the organism in Eukaryota, Viridiplantae, Streptophyta, Magnoliopsida, Asterales, Asteraceae. The record is from RefSeq and is a predicted model, not a curated record.
UUCAAUUUUACUCUUCGAUUGGAACCCCAUCGACCCGCUCAAGAGGGAAGACCCGACACAGAGAUUAGAGAUUAGGAGGACAUAGAAGAAAAUUCAACGUAUCGCCACCACCAGUCUCAGCCACCGCGAUGAUUCUUACGAUUCAUCGACAGUUCUACAGGCGUAUUUUCUACGCCGCCUCCCUAAACCCUUAUUUGACCCUUCCCUCCGUUGAACACCAGAGAAUCCCCACAACCAUAUGAUGUUUUCUCGACCUUUGCUACAUAGUUGUUACGUCCACCGCUGCCACCGCACGCGCGCCCUCCAAUAACAUGCUUACAUAUUUCGUCCUCCACCCCCGACUGUAUUUAAGCUGUUCUAAUUUUCUGGUCUUUCUUCCGUUGCUUUCCAAUUUCUGUCUCCAUAUGUUGUUAGAAGUCGUCAGUCUCAGGAUAGCCUUCCUGCUGUCAGCGUAUUAGGUCUCUAGAUAAAUAAUUUCUUGGAAUGUGUGUGUUAUUGUUGGUUUGUGUUUUUUAUACUCCAGUAGAUAUGCUGCUCUAUCAGUUACAGAGAAAUGGAAUUGAAGGUGUGUGCUCUCCUGUCACGACUCCGUUGAGGAUGCCACCUCAGCACAACGAGCACGCCACAAUGCCCAUACCGUCUGCUCUUAUAAAUCCAUACAUAUUCUUUAAUGAUUAGAAUUUUAGUAUUUCAUCAUAAAUAGUGUACUUAUUGAGUUCCUCAAUCGUUGAUCUUCUUCUGUUGAUCAGUUUGGGUGCUCCACUUGUGAAACUUAUGUCAAGGCCUGCAAGUAUGUCUCUGCCACAAGUAGCGGUUGAUGACUUCUAUAGUUAAGGUUUAACCAGCUCCUUCAUAUCUCCCUAUCUCUUUAUCCUUAACAUUCCCAAACUAAAUUAAUUGAGAUUUUGUAUUGUCUAUUUAUCUUUACAGCUCUACCGACCAGUUUUAUGAUGAAAUUUGAAAGUGAGUUUGACGAUGCACCACAAGUGUUUGAUGAAAUGAUAUAACAAAAUCUUAUUUUUACUUUCUUAUCUAAAAAAACUCACAAAAAAUCUCACUGUUUAAAAGCAAAUACCAUAACACUCAUACCAUAGCAAAACAUUGUAGGAUGUAUAAACCUUAAAAGCAAAUAUUUGAAGUGUCAAGACUAUAAAUAUUCUAUUUUUUAGUUACAAAAAUCAUUCACAUCUUCCAUACCACUUCAAUUAUCGAAACAUCUUUUAUUUCUAUUUCUAACCGGUUGUAACAUUUCAUUUUAGUUUAUGGGAAAAAAAUAUGCAAGCCAUUAAUUAAACGACUCUUAUACUAUCCAUUUCAAUUAUUGGAACAUAUUUGAUGUAGUCUGUGACUACAGGAAAAGACAAUUUAACUAGGCGUAUUGUCAAACGCAAAGAACAGGGGCACUAUCGUGUGCCUGACGACCAAAAAUUGAGAAACUGAUCUCGACUCUUUAUUGCAAAACAAAAACGAAUUCAGAAUAUCACACACCAAAAAACCUGAUGCAUGUUUUGACCCAAUACUUAUAGCUAAACAAUACGAAACCUAAUACCACUAGAAAACCUCAACAGAUAAAGACUAAAUAAAAAAAAAACAAAAUAAACUAAACUUGGGCUUUACUCCUUCUCGAAUACAAUGUCGGCCAGGGGUAAAUUAGGAAAAAAAACACUAUCACUAUAUUGCAUCAACGCAUCAUUCUCCCCUGCUUGAAAAAGAACUCGUCCUCGAGUGAUUAUCAGGAUACAAAGGCAGAUCCGGCUGAAAAAUGGCGAGGUCAGACACAUUAAACGUAGGCGAAAUCGACCAGCCAUCCGGUAGAUCAACAACAUAGGCAUUAUCAUUCACUUUCCGAAUUAUCUUGCAAGGGCCAAUUUUCUUCAUCUUGAGCUUGUUAUACGUACCCACUGGGAACCGUUCUUUUCGUAAAUGAACCAUAACGAGAUCACCCACUUCAAAUACUUUCUCGCGUCGAUGUUUGUCACGUGCUUCUUUAUACUUAGCAUUAGACAACGCUAGCUUUUGUUUAACCUCUUCUUGGACUGCUUCGAUUUUUUUAGCCAAAUUUUCAGCUGCUAAAUUGUGCCCAGGCAACGCAGGUAACUGAAUAAGAUCUAGUGGAUGUUUAGGCUGCCUUUGGUAACCAAUCUGAAAAGGCGAUUUACCAGUUGACCAGUUGACCAUGUUAUUAAAAGCGAAUUCAGCUGGAGCGAGAAAUUGGUCCCAUUGUUUAGGGCGAUCGCCACAAAGACACCUUAUUAAAUUCCCUAAGGUUUUGUUCACCACUUCAGUCUGCCCAUCUGUUUGGGGAUGGAAAGAGGUACUAAAUUGGAGCGUGGUCUGAAAUAACCUCCAAAGAGUGCGCCAAAAAUGACUAAGAAACUUGGAGUCACGAUCAGAUGUGAUUGUUGAAGGAAUGCCAUGUAAACGAACUAUUUCCCGAAAGAAUAAUAAGGCAAUAUUAGACGCAUCCGUCGUUUUCUUGCAAGGGAUAAAAUGGGACAUUUUGGAGAAACGAUCAACUACCACAAACACAGAAUCAUUUCCUCUUGUUGUCUUGGGAAGACCUAAAACAAAAUCCAUAGAAAUAUCUUCCCAAGGGCCGUCAGGAAUAGGUAAUGGAGUAUACAAACCAGUAUUUUGGGAUUGGCCUUUGGCUUUCUGACAAAUAACACAUUUAGCAACAAAUCGACCCACAUCCCGUCGUAAUUGCGGCCAAAAAUAACGCUCUUCAACUAACGCAAUAGUCUUAUCCCUUCCAAAAUGGCCUCCUAAUCCGCCUCCAUGCAAUUCUUUGAUAAGUUCUUCCCGUAAAGAAGUACGGGGAAUACAGAGACGAUGAUCAUAGAACAGAUAACCAUCAAGCUUAAACAUAGGUGGAACUAUCUUGCUGCUCCAUAUCUUUUUAAAAUCUUCAUCAUCAGCGUAUAACUCCUUCAAAUCUUUGAAACCAAGGAUUUCUGUUCGUAAGCUUACUAAUAACUCAGCUCGACGACUCAACGCAUUAGCCACCUUGUUCUGAUCAUCGGAUUUAUGUUUUAAAACAAACGAAAAACGUUGCAGAUAUGAAACCCACCGCCCAUGCAUGCGAUUUAAUUUUUGUUGACUAUUAAAAUACUUAAGUGCUUCGUUGUCUGUAUAAAGAAUAAACUCACGAUGGAACAGAUACUGCUCCCAAUGUUGUAUGGAUCUAUAAAUCGCAUAAAAUUCUAACUCAUAAGUAGUCCACUUUUGUCGUGCCUCACUAAGUUUCUCACUAAAGAAUGCCACGGGUUUCCCGUCUUGGGACAAAACAACACCGAUGCCUAUAAUCGAUGCAUCACACUCUAAAGUGAAAAGUUUAUCGAAAUUGGGCAAAACUAGUAAAGGAACAGAAGUCAACUUUUCUUUGAUGAGGGCAAAACUUCGAGUAGCUGCAUCUCCCCAUUGAAACUGACCCUUUUUCAGACACUGGUGAUAGGAGCCAUAAUAGAACUAAAAUUUCGAACAAAUCACCGAUAAAAAGUCGCAAGUCCAUGAAAACUACGGACUUCACUAACGGUUUUGGGAACCGGCCACUCGCGUAUGACACGUACUUUUUCCUCAUCUACUCGAAUUCCAUCUGCAGUAAUGAUAAAACCUAAAAAUAGUAGCUGAUUGGUCAAGAAACUACAUUUCUUUAGGUUGAGAUAAAGUUUAUUACUGUCCAAAACAGUAAGAACCUCUGUGAGGUGUAGAAGAUGCUCACUCUCUGUCUUACUAUACACGAGAAUAUCAUCAAAAUAAACGACCACAAAAGAUCCAAGGAAAGGUUUUAACACCUAGUUCAUGAGUCGAGAGAAAGUGCUGGGAGCGUUAGACAAACCGAAAGGCAUGACCAACCACUCGUAUAGACCAUCUUUAGUUUUAAAUGUUGUCUUCCAUUCAUCACCAGGGCGAAUACGGAUCUGAUGAUACCCGCUUUGUAGGUCGAGUUUAGAAAACACAUUGGACCCUUCCAACAUGUCUAACAUGUCAUCUAAUCGGGGAAUUGGAAAUCUAUAUGCCACUGUUAUCUUGUUGAUGGCCCUGCUAUCAACACACAUUCGCCAGCUACCAUCUUUCUUUGGAACCAACGGAGCGGGGACUGCACAAGGACUCAUGCUCUUACGAAUGAGAACCUUUUUCAAUAAAUCUUCAACCUGUUCUUGUAGUAUUUGGUUCUCUUUUGGGCUCAUGCGAUAGUGUGCUAGGUUGGGUAACUUAGAUCCCGGAAUGAAAUCAAUUUGGUGUUGAAUAUCGCGCAUUGGUGGAAGUGUUGCUGGUAAUUCACUGGGAAUAAGGGACUUAAACUUCGAUAGGAUAGGUGUUAAUUUGGCAGGAAUGUUAUUUUCGCCCCCCUCCUGGAUAGAACCUGUAGCAACAAUAGCAUAAAUGACAGAUUCCCCUUUUAUCUCUUCUUCAAAAUCUCGAUGAGACAACACCACCAGGCUAUUUUUCUUCACAUCGUGAUGAGGGGUCGUGGGUUUACUAGAUUCUAUCAAAGGGACUAAAAUCAUCUUCACCCUAUUAACCUUAAAGGAGUAUGUGUUUUCCUUGCCCUUGUGUAUCGCAUCCUUAUCAAAUUCCCAAGGUCGCCCAAGCAGAAUAUGACAUGCAUCCAUGUCCACAACAUCAAACCACAAUUCAUCUUUAUAUUUUCCAAUAGAAAAAGGGAUUUUACAUUGAUCAGUGACGCGGAUCUCCCCAAUUGAUUUGAUCCAUCCUAUUUUGUAUGGGUGCGGAUGCCUUCUGGUAGGUAGUUUGAGUUGUUGCACAAUUGUUUGAGAAACAAUAUUAUAUUUUCUGUACUCCCACCAUCAAUAAUAACGUCAAAUAUCUUUUGAUGUACUACACAACGAGUCCGAAACAGGUUAUGGCGUUGCGAGGGUUCUUCAGUUACUUUAGGCGCAAGCAUAAUGCGGCGGAUGACACAUGAUUUAGCAGUGUCAUCCUCACAAAAAGUCUCGUCAGCUGCAAAACAAAUCUCAACUUCUUCGUUGCCACCCUCCUCACUAACAACUUCAUCAUCAACUUCUCCUUCUUCUCUUGUGGUAAGGUUAACUUUGGCUGUUAUUCCUCUGCAAUCGCUAGAUCGAUGACCCGAGAUACCACAUUUAAAACACUUCCCUGGUAUGGGUCGAGCGUAAGGGUUGGUGGAUUUCAGGGUGGUAGUAGCGGUUGCGGUGACACCUUUACCCUUGUCGGGUGCUGGUGUUCUUGUAACCACUUGGCUGUUUUCUGUUGGUUGUGAUGUUGACCCACUGGUGAAUUUAUUCCGAUUAGCAGGGAAUGAAAAGGUUUUACUACUCUUCGCCAAUUGUGUUUCUGCCCUGAUAGCUAGAUUAUACGCAUCAUCCAAUGCAUAUACAGGUACUAGGGAUAUUCUGUCUUGAAUCGGAGGGCGUAAUCCGUUAGUAUAGUGCGAGACCUGUUGUGAUUCGGUUUCUGUGAGGUCAUUCCGAGCGGCUAAUCGAUGGAAUUCGGUGGUGUAAGCCUCCACUGAUCGAUCUCCUUGCGUGCAAUUUUGAAACAUGUUGAAUAAAAUUUGAUCAUGAUUAGGGGGUAAGAACUUGCGCUUUAGUUCACGUUCCAUUUGAUCCCAGGAAGUAAUAUGUAAUUUACCUUGUCGUUCUCGCGUGGUUUGCAGGUUCUUCCACCAAGCCUGAGCUCCUCCUUUGAGUUUGUAAGCCACGAGAGUGACCCGUUUAUUUCCCGGGAUAUCAUAGAAUUGAAAAAAAUUCUCCAGCUCAUUCAUCCAGUCUAGGAAGCCUUCGAUGUUCAUGGAUCCGCUGAAAGAGGGUACAUCUUUGGCUCUUUGGUGGUAAUCGAAAUCAUGUGCAUCCCUACGUAGACCCGGACACCCUCUCGCACCUUCAUCACCGUCAUCUUCUUCUAGAUCGGAGUCUUCCCUGUUCCGUUCUUAUUCCUGCAUCCGUAUUCGAUCAUAAGCAUUGAUGAUUGGAGGAGGUCGCUGAAUGGGUUGCUGGUUGCGAAUGAACUGUACGAGCGGUGGUUGGUUAUUGCGAUUGAGUGCUUCUUGGUUUGCUUGCUCCCUACGAUUCUGAUUGUUGUUGGUUGUAAGAAGUGCUAAACUUUCUGUAAUUUGUUGCAAGGAUUGUUGGAGGGUUUGGAGGGUUUGUUCGAUCUUGACGAUUCGUCCAGAAUCGGUUUCUUCGCCCGCCAUGGAUGUUGGGCUCUGAUACCACCUGAUGUAGUCUGUGACUACAGGAAAAGACAAUUUAACUAGGCGUAUUGUCAAACGCAAAGAACAGGGGCAUUAUCGUGUGCCUGACAACCAAGAAUUGAGAAACUGAUCUCGACUCUUUAUUGCAAAACAAAAACGAAUUCAGAAUAUCACACACCAAAAAACCUGAUGCACGUUUUGACCCAGUGUGACAAAGUUUUGUUAUCAAUUAAAGUCAGUACUUUUUUUGGUGCUGUGAAGGAGUUGGAGAGCAUAGUGCGAAGCAUUAUCUCAAUGCUUUCAAGCCCAAAUGAUGAAUUUCCUGCAAAUGUCGAAGCUGCGAUGAUGACCAUAUUGCCCUUGUGUUAUUUGUUUUUUAUUGAGCAUUUGUUUAAGAUGUUUGUGUUUUUUUUUUGGGUGUGAUUACAUAAAGAAUGCAAGACUCAAUGUAGGUUUCUCUUGAAGAGAUGAGUUCAGAGUAGUAAUGCCCCUUGCAGUCUUUGAUGAUGCCGGCUUGGAAAUGGCGAUACAAUGAAGCGUAAGUGAAUGGCAUUUAAAGACUAUAUAUUGUAUUUGUUAUAACUUAUAACUAUAUUAUAAAUAUUAACAAAAACUGUAAAUGAAAGGGUAAAAUUGUCAUUUACGACAAAAAUAGCUUUCAUUGUUACUACAAAAAAAAAAAGGCAACUUCAUUUUUAUCACAAAAGCAACAUGGUACUUUCA